AGAUGUGCAGGAAAUGCGUGCAUCUGGGAGCCUGGGACAGAGCAGCAACAACAACUGGAAGAGAGGGGAAGGGAAAACAGCAGCGACCUUGACAGAACAAAAGGAGAGAGAGGCCGGGACACGGGGAGGCACACAGCAGCGAUAAGCAGAACAGGAAGUCAGCCGCCGGGCAGCCAGAGACCAGGGGAGGGGGCAGGCUCCACUCUCCCGCAGGACGAUGCUGCCUUGUCCCGAGUGCCGAGGGGCAGGUGGUGGACAGGGGAGUGAAGAACCAGAGGGCAGGUUUAAGGGGCUGACGACUCUUUGAAGAAUCUUCCCGGAUGGAAGGUGUCAGCGGGGAACCCUCUCGACCUUCAAACCAGCUUACAGGAUCGUUCCGCCAACCUGUCUACCUGCAUCGCACUCUCUCUGUAACCGUGACACUUCACUCUGUAUUGUUUUCCCCUGUACUACCUCGGCGCACUGUGUAAUGAAAUGAUCUGUACAAACAGCAUGCAAGACAAGUUUUUCACUGUACCUUGGUACA
This is a long non-coding RNA of Pristis pectinata (smalltooth sawfish), 526 nucleotides long. RefSeq lists it as uncharacterized. The transcript has 3 exons. NCBI's taxonomy places the organism in Eukaryota, Metazoa, Chordata, Chondrichthyes, Rhinopristiformes, Pristidae. The record is from RefSeq and is a predicted model, not a curated record.